Molecule: transfer RNA, 50 nt
Filed under: Adolphia infesta
Lineage: Eukaryota; Viridiplantae; Streptophyta; Magnoliopsida; Rosales; Rhamnaceae
Description: partial tRNA-Leu
Source: RNAcentral
UUAACGGAUUUUCCUCUUACUAUAAAUUUCAUUGUUGUCGAUAUUGACAU